GGGUCAGUAGGUUGGUCGUGCCACCGGUACGUACUGGUCUCACUGAUUCCUCCUUCCUGAAGAACCGUAAUGCCAUCAAUUUGGUGUUGCGGGGAAACAGGACUGUUACUUUGAAAAAAUUAGAGUGUUUAAAGCAAGCUAACGCUUGAAUACAUUAGCAUGGAAUAAUGGAAUAGGACGAUCGAUCCUAUUUUGUUGGUUUCUAGGAUUGACGUA
RNAcentral lists this ribosomal RNA (216 nucleotides) under Glomeromycotina sp. RNAcentral's name for it is "partial small subunit ribosomal RNA". The stretch from base 40 to 216 matches the Rfam family "Eukaryotic small subunit ribosomal RNA", at positions 686 to 864 of the family's 1831-position model. The record is from RNAcentral. Lineage: Eukaryota; Fungi; Glomeromycota.